Molecule: ribosomal RNA, 2224 nt
Filed under: human gut metagenome
Description: bacterial LSU rRNA
Rfam family: Bacterial large subunit ribosomal RNA
Source: RNAcentral
AUACUCCCGAGAGACCGAUAGCGAACCAGUACUGUGAAGGAAAGGUGAAAAGCACUUCGAAUAGAAGAGUGAAAUAGUCCCUGAAACCAUGCGCCUACAAGCGGUCGGAGCAGCUUAAGCUGUGACGGCGUGCCUUUUGCAUAAUGAACCUACGAGUUACUUUUUCCGGCAAGGUUAAGCAUCUUGAGAUGUGGAUCCGAAGCGAAAGCGAGUCUGAACAGGGCGGAUAGUCGGAAGGAGUAGACGCGAAACCAAGUGAUCUACCCUUGGGCAGGUUGAAGGUUAGGUAACACUAACUGGAGGACCGAACCGAUAAGCGUUGAAAAGCUUCCGGAUGACCUGAGGGUGGGGGUGAAAGGCUAAUCAAACUUGGAGAUAGCUCGUACUCCCCGAAAUGCAUUUAGGUGCAGCCUUGUGAGUUACUAAUGUGAGGUAGAGCGACUGAUAAGAUGCGAGGGCUUCACCGCCUAUCAAGUCUUGACAAACUCCGAAUGCGUGUCAGUUCUAUGUCAGGAGUGAGGGCAUGGGUGCUAAGGUCCAUGUCCUAAAGGAGAACAAUCCGGACCAACAGCUAAGGUCCCGAAAUGAAUACUAAGUUGAACUAACGAAGUCAGAUUGCUAAGACAGCUAGGAUGUUGGCUUGGAAGCAGCCAUUCAUUUAAAGAGUGCGUAACAGCUCACUAGUCGAGGAGUCUGGCGUGGAUAAUAAUCGGGUAUUAAGUUGUCUACCGAAGCAGUGGGAUCAUUGAAAUGAUCGGUAGGGGAGCAUUCCAGUCAGCGUCGAAGGCGUACCGCGAGGUAUUCUGGAGCGUCUGGAAAAGCAAAUGUAGGUAUAAGUAACGAUAAAGGGGGCGGGAAACCCCCUCGCCGAAAGACUAAGGUUUCCUGAUCAACGCUAAUCGGAUCAGGGUAAGUCGGGUCCUAAGGCUCAGCCGAAGGGCGAUGCCGAUGGCAGAAACGGUUAAUAUUCCGUUACUACCUCCAGGAGUGAUGUGGAGACGCAGUAGUGACAAUGCCGCCAUCUGACGGAAUAGAUGGUUGAAGGGUGUAGAUGUUGAUCUUGGCAGGCAAAUCCACCAUGAGAAUCGAACCUGAUAGUAUGCCGCGUCCCUCGGGACAAGGCAAUAGUGCAUGUAAUCAUGCUGCCAAGAAAAUCCGCUAAACUAAAUCCUGUAGGUACCCGUACCGUAAACGGACACACGUAGUCGGGAUGAAUAUUCUAAGGCGCUUGAGUGAUUCACGGUUAAGGAACUAGGCAAACUGACCCUGUAACUUCGGGAUAAAGGGUCCCUACCCGGUGACGGGAGGGCGCAGAGAAUAGGUCCAGGCAACUGUUUAACAAAAACACAGGGCUGUGCAAAAUUGAAAGAUCACGUAUACAGCCUGACACCUGCCCGGUGCUGGAAGGUUAAGAGGAGAUGUCAUCGCAAGAGAAGCAUUGAAUUGAAGCCCCAGUAAACGGCGGCCGUAACUAUAACGGUCCUAAGGUAGCGAAAUUCCUUGUCGGGUAAGUUCCGACCUGCACGAAUGGUGUAAUGAUCUGGACACUGUCUCAACCGUGAGCUCAGUGAAAUUGUAGUAUCGGUGAAGAUGCCGAUUACCCGCGAUGGGACGAAAAGACCCCGUGAACCUUUACUAUAGCUUAACAUUGAAUUUGGGUAAUUGAUGUGUAGGAUAGGCCGGAGACUUUGAAGCGGGCACGCCAGUGUUUGUGGAGUCGCUGUUGAAAUACGGCCCUUUGGUUAUUUGAGUUCUAACUCGCUGAUGCGAGGACACUGUUUGGUGGGUAGUUUGACUGGGGUGGUCGCCUCCAAAAGCGUAACGGAGGCUUCUAAAGGUGCCCUCACGCCGAUUGGUAACCGGCGGUAGAGUGUAAUGGCAUAAGGGCGCUUGACUGGGAGACUUACAAGUCGAUCAGGUAGGAAACUAGAGCAUAGUGAUCCGGUGUUUCCGUAUGGAAGGGACAUCGCUCAAAGGAUAAAAGGUACUCCGGGGAUAACAGGCUGAUCCCUCCCAAGAGCUCAUAUCGACGGAGGGGUUUGGCACCUCGAUGUCGGCUCGUCACAUCCUGGGGCUGGAGAAGGUCCCAAGGGUUGGGCUGUUCGCCCAUUAAAGUGGCACGCGAGCUGGGUUCAGAACGUCGUGAGACAGUUCGGUCUCUAUCUAUCGUGGGCGUAUGAAAUUUGCGUGGCUCUGACACUAGUACGAGAGGACCGUGUUGGAC